CUUGCUCCCCGGAAAAAGAAGAGUGGCGAACGGGUGAGUAACACGUGGGKAACCUGCCCAUCAGAAGGGGAUAACACKKGGAAACWGGUGCAKAAURCCGUAUAACAAKCAAAACCGCAUGGUUUUGAUUUGAAAGGCGCUUUCGGGUGUYGYUGAUGGAUGGACCCGCGGUGCAUUAGCUAGKUGGUGAGGUAACGGSUCACCAAGGCCACGAUGCAUAGCCGACCUGAGAGGGUGAUCGGCCACAUUGGGACUGAGACACGGCCCAAACUCCUACGGGAGGCAGCAGUAGGGAAUCUUCGGCAAUGGACGAAAGUCUGACCGAGCAACGCCGCGUGAGUGAAGAAGGUUUUCGGAUCGUAAAACUCUGUUGUUAGAGAAGAACAAGGAUGAGAGUAACUGUUCAUCCCUUGACGGUAUCUAACCAGAAAGCCACGGCUAACUACGUGCCAGCAGCCG
Molecule: ribosomal RNA, 459 nt
Filed under: Enterococcus durans
Lineage: Bacteria; Bacillati; Bacillota; Bacilli; Lactobacillales; Enterococcaceae
Description: partial 16S ribosomal RNA
Source: RNAcentral